RNAcentral lists this ribosomal RNA (497 nucleotides) under uncultured bacterium. RNAcentral describes it as "partial 16S ribosomal RNA". It matches the Rfam family "Bacterial small subunit ribosomal RNA", at positions 28 to 507 of the family's 1533-position model. The record is from RNAcentral.
GACGAACGCUGGCGGCGUGCCUAAUACAUGCAAGUUGAGCGCUGAAGGUUGGUACUUGUACCGACUGGAUGAGCAGCGAACGGGUGAGUAACGCGUGGGGAAUCUGCCUUCGAGCGGGGGACAACAUUUGGAAACGAAUGCUAAUACCGCAUAAAAACUUUAAACACAAGUUUUAAGUUUGAAAGAUGCAAUUGCAUCACUCAAAGAUGAUCCCGCGUUGUAUUAGCUAGUUGGUGAGGUAAAGGCUCACCAAGGCGAUGAUACAUAGCCGACCUGAGAGGGUGAUCGGCCACAUUGGGACUGAGACACGGCCCAAACUCCUACGGGAGGCAGCAGUAGGGAAUCUUCGGCAAUGGACGAAAGUCUGACCGAGCAACGCCGCGUGAGUGAAGAAGGUUUUCGGAUCGUAAAACUCUGUUGGUAGAGAAGAACGUUGGUGAGAGUGGAAAGCUCAUCAAGUGACGGUAACUACCCAGAAAGGGACGGCUAACUACGUG